This 460-nucleotide long non-coding RNA is filed under the name Cricetulus griseus (Chinese hamster). RNAcentral's name for it is "lncRNA (ENSCGRG00015036822.1)". Lineage: Eukaryota; Metazoa; Chordata; Mammalia; Rodentia; Cricetidae. The record is from RNAcentral.
CACGUAGCCACCAGGGAGGCAGGACUCCAGGGCAUCACCUAGGGUCAGCAACCCCAGCCAAGGACACUCCAGUACCAAGGAUGCUCUGGAACUCUCCAUCACAACACAGCAUGCAGCUUCUGAAUGCCAUCAGCAAAGGCUUGACUUACCUCUUCACACUUGGUUUGUGCAUUUUGUUACCAAGCUGAGCGCCUGGCAGAAAUUCUUCUGUUCAAAUGCAGAAGCCCAGCCCAGAAAGCUGAAAGAAGGAAAAGAAACCUCAGGAAAAAAAAAAAAAAAAAAGGAGACACGCUUAUUAAGUGGGACAGACUAUAAUAAAAAAAUAAUAAUAAAAAAACAGUGGUGUGCCCCAGUAGAAAGUAAAAUGAAAUAAUCCCUGUUUCAAGCUCAGAGAGAACAAAUGUCUUAUUAUGCUAAAAGGCCUCAAGUUGGAAAAGACAGUUCCCACAGCCAUCGUUUU